UUAGCAUAUGGGUUUGAACAUUUCAGCAAUUAAAAUGUUCUUUAUGAUUCCAAAAAAGCUCUAGCCUAAAUAAAAUUGUGUUAUGCAUUAAAGGACAGACACAUCGUUUGGUUGAGUCUCAUCAGACUUGAAUGAAGUGUCUCUUGGUGGAGGAAAACGUGUGUAAACUACUCCUGUGUGAUGUGUGUGAUGGGGAGGACUCUGUGUGACGCAUUUGACACUUCAAGGAUCCAUCUAGCAAACACACUGACCAACAUGAAGACCUGCACAGUACAAGUUGUCCAUCUGUAACGCCGAUCUGCUGCUGCAAAUCUCAACCCCAAAAACAAGACUUCUACUUUCUACCCGUUUGGUGCCCCUCGCCAAUCUGCAGACAACCACCAGUGUAAUCGACGCAAGACUGCGGCUUGUGCCUCCCCCGAGUAGAGUGGCUCCCACCAGGUAGUGCCAUGGCAACGGGGCUCAGACAUCUAUCACCCCA
Boleophthalmus pectinirostris (great blue-spotted mudskipper) is the source of this 481-nucleotide long non-coding RNA. RefSeq lists it as uncharacterized. The record is from RefSeq and is a predicted model, not a curated record. NCBI's taxonomy places the organism in Eukaryota, Metazoa, Chordata, Actinopteri, Gobiiformes, Gobiidae. The transcript has 5 exons.